RNAcentral lists this ribosomal RNA (325 nucleotides) under uncultured eukaryote. Its description in RNAcentral is "partial 18S ribosomal RNA". It matches the Rfam family "Eukaryotic small subunit ribosomal RNA", at positions 1470 to 1796 of the family's 1831-position model. The record is from RNAcentral.
CCCUUAGAUGUUCUGGGCCGCACGCGCGCUACACUGAUGCAUUCAACGAGCCUAUCCUUGACCGACAGGUCCGGGUAAUCUUUGAAUCUGCAUCGUGACGGGGAUAGAUUAUUGCAAUUAUUAAUCUUCAACGAGGAAUGCCUAGUAGGCGCAAGUCAUCAGCUUGCGUCGAUUACGUCCCUGCCCUUUGUACACACCGCCCGUCUCUCCUACCGAUUGGGUGUGCUGGUGAAAUGUUCGGAUCGGCCGUUUGUCGCGGUUUCCGCGUCAUGUGGCUGAGAAGUUCAUUAAACCCUCCCACCUAGAGGAAGGAGAAGUCGUAACA